Molecule: long non-coding RNA, 1287 nt
Organism: Chenopodium quinoa (quinoa)
Lineage: Eukaryota; Viridiplantae; Streptophyta; Magnoliopsida; Caryophyllales; Amaranthaceae
Exons: 6
Source: RefSeq, a predicted model, not a curated record
UGGUACUAGUGUCAAUGUAAGGAUUUAUAUUCCGCUUAUUAACGACGCUUUUCCAGGUCGAGGUCGUCUGUGGACACUAAAAAGCGUCGACAAAGUCACAUGACCCGCACGUGACUAUUUUGGUUGCCCGGGAUUUCAAUUUUUAAGGAAAAAAAAAUCGAGGUUAGAAGAAUGUCCCGAGUUAAACCGCCUAAUUAGCUAGGUCUAGUUUCAGAAAAAUAAAAAAUAAAAAAAAAAGAAAGAAAAAGCUAGGUCAGUCAUCACCAAAUUUGCUGCUUCUGGAAAUCGCUAAUUUGCUUCAUCCAUCGUUCUGACGUUCUCCAUUCAAAUUCGUCUCCCAAUUCGUUCUGGAAAUUGUGGGAAUUUGGGAAAUUUCUUCUUCAACCUGUCAAAUUCAUCGAUUUAUAAAGAAGGAAGAAGAAUCUUGUGCCAGGAGGAUUGUUGAAGGCUGAAUUGAGACAUGGUGGAGACCUUCUGACGGCACGCCACCUGCAACUUUCUCCCACCUUUUAAUUGACCUCUGCUACCGUAGCCACUGCCGGCACGCCACCUGAAACUUCUUGAAGAUUGGCUACUCUGCUAUUGCUGAGGAACUUUCACCUUGGAUGCCAACUCAAAAUUAGAUUGCACUUGAAGAACUUCGUUUCAAAAAGAAAGAGGCCAAGAGAUAGAGGACAAUUAGCCGACGCCUUGAAAAUGGUUGACCCAGUCAAAACUCCAGCUAAGUCAGCAGCGUUGUUGCGCAAAGAAGCUGCUCUUACAAAGAAAGCAUCCGUUGAAGCCAAAGAGUCCAAGAAAGGCGGGGUAAGACCGCCUGACUUAGUAUUAUUUUUUUUACAUUUCUUGCAAAUGCUGUUUGCCGGUUGGGUAUAUUUAACUUCUUAAUUUGCAGGACUCUGUUAAACGCGUGCCACGCUCCUUCUCCAAGCUUUUCAAAAGGCAAGUGGAGGAUUUGAAAAAGGCCCCGGCUUCCAAGGCCGCCAAGAGGGACCCCCCAUUCAACGACCGGUGGCAAAUCGCCUUCUGCAAUGAAGAUUCUGAGCGAAAGCUCAGAGCGCUCGCAGAAGAAUGCGCCGAAUGUCUCUACGGCAUCGAAGGGUGGCCAGCCACCUAAUGUUGCAGCCGGUGCGACAACAAUUGGGGAGGGGAUUCCUACGCCCCAUCCGGACACACAAGGUGAGGGCAAGAUUGAAAUACCUUGGCCAUUUGACUUCAUGAGAGUCAAGACUAAGGUAGACCCCUCCGGGGGUUCAGUCAGCAGCCGGCAACGGAUGAAUGCCAACUAUG